Molecule: ribosomal RNA, 253 nt
Filed under: uncultured bacterium
Lineage: Bacteria
Description: partial 16S ribosomal RNA
Rfam family: Bacterial small subunit ribosomal RNA
Source: RNAcentral
UACGUAGGUGACAAGCGUUGUCCGGAUUUACUGGGCGUAAAGAGCGCGCAGGCGGUCGAUCAAGUCGAGUGUGAAAGCCCCCGGCUCAACUGGGGAGGGUCAUUCGAUACUGAUCGACUCGAAGGCAGGAGAGGGUAGUGGAAUUCCCGGUGUAGUGGUGAAAUGCGUAGAUAUCGGGAGGAACACCAGUGGCGAAAGCGACUACCUGGCCUGUUCUUGACGCUGAGGCGCGAAAGCUAGGGGAGCAAACGGG